RNAcentral lists this ribosomal RNA (636 nucleotides) under uncultured bacterium. RNAcentral's name for it is "bacterial SSU rRNA". It matches the Rfam family "Bacterial small subunit ribosomal RNA", at positions 202 to 842 of the family's 1533-position model. The record is from RNAcentral.
UAAAGAAUUUCGGUCACCGAUGGGGAUGCGUUCCAUUAGCUUGUUGGCGGGGUAACGGCCCACCAAGGCAUCGAUGGAUAGGGGUUCUGAGAGGAAGGUCCCCCACAUUGGAACUGAGACACGGUCCAAACUCCUACGGGAGGCAGCAGUGAGGAAUAUUGGUCAAUGGGCGCUAGCCUGAACCAGCCAAGUAGCGUGAAGGAUGACUGCCCUAUGGGUUGUAAACUUCUUUUAUAUGGGAAUAAAGUGCAGUAUGUAUACUGCUUUGCAUGUACCUUAUGAAUAAGGAUCGGCUAACUCCGUGCCAGCAGCCGCGGUAAUACGGAGGAUCCGAGCGUUAUCCGGAUUUAUUGGGUUUAAAGGGAGCGUAGGCGGGUUGUUAAGUCAGUUGUGAAAGUUUGCGGCUCAACCGUAAAAUUGCAGUUGAUACUGGCAUCCUUGAGUACAGUAGAGGUAGGCGGAAUUCGUGGUGUAGCGGUGAAAUGCUUAGAUAUCACGAAGAACUCCGAUUGCGAAGGCAGCCUGCUGGACUGUAACUGACGCUGAUGCUCGAAAGUGUGGGUAUCAAACAGGAUUAGAUACCCUGGUAGUCCACACAGUAAACGAUGAAUACUCGCUGUUUGCGAUAUACAGUAA